This 404-nucleotide unclassified non-coding RNA is filed under the name soil metagenome. Its description in RNAcentral is "partial contains 5.8S ribosomal RNA, internal transcribed spacer 2, and large subunit ribosomal RNA". The stretch from base 1 to 122 matches the Rfam family "5.8S ribosomal RNA", at positions 35 to 154 of the family's 154-position model. The record is from RNAcentral.
GAUGAAGAACGUAGCAAAAUGCGAUACUUGGUGUGAAUUGCAGAAUCCCGUGAACCAUCGAGUUUUUGAACGCAAGUUGCGCCCGAAGCCUUUUGGCCGAGGGCACGUCUGCCUGGGCGUCACGCAUCGCGUCGCCCCCCACAAUUCUCCGUAAAGGGAACGUGUGUUUUGGGGGCGGAUAUUGGUCUCCCGUGCUCAUGGCGUGGUUGGCCGAAAUAGGAGUCCUUUCGAUGGACGCACGAACUAGUGGUGGUCGUAAAAACCCGCGUCUUUUGUUUCGUGCUGUUGCUCGCAAGGUAAACUCUUUAAAAACCCCAAUGUGUCGUCUCUUGACGACGCUUCGACCGCGACCCCAGGUCAGGCGGGACUACCCGCUGAGUUUAAGCAUAUCAAUAAGCGGAGGA